GACGAACGCUGGCGGCGUGCUUAACACAUGCAAGUCGAACGAUGACGACCGAGCUUGCUCGGUCUGAUUAGUGGCGAACGGGUGAGUAACACGUGAGCAACCUGCCCUUCACUCUGGGAUAACCUCGGGAAAUCGGGGCUAAUACCGGAUAUGAGCUCCUGUCGCAUGGCGGGUGUUGGAAAGUUUUUCGGUGAAGGAUGGGCUCGCGGCCUAUCAGUUUGUUGGUGAGGUAGUGGCUCACCAAGGCGAUGACGGGUAGCCGGCCUGAGAGGGCGACCGGCCACGCUGGGACUGGGACACGGCCCAGACUCCUACGGGAGGCAGCAGUGGGGAAUAUUGCACAAUGGGCGAAAGCCUGAUGCAGCGACGCCGCGUGAGGGAUGACGGCCUUCGGGUUGUAAACCUCUUUCAGCAGGGAAGAAGCGAAAGUGACGGUACCUGCAGAAGAAGCGCCGGCUAACUACGUG
Molecule: ribosomal RNA, 467 nt
Filed under: uncultured bacterium
Lineage: Bacteria
Description: partial 16S ribosomal RNA
Rfam family: Bacterial small subunit ribosomal RNA
Source: RNAcentral